UACGUAGGGUGCAAGCGUUGUCCGGAAUUAUUGGGCGUAAAGAGCUCGUAGGCGGUCUGUCGCGUCGGCUGUGAAAACCCGAGGCUCAACCUCGGGCCUGCAGUCGAUACGGGCAAACUAGAGUACUGCAGGGGAGACUGGAAUUCCUGGUGUAGCGGUGAAAUGCGCAGAGUAUCAGGAGGAACACCGGUGGCGAAGGCGGGUCUCUGGGCAGUAACUGACGCUGAGGAGCGAAAGCGUGGGGAGCGAACAGG
RNAcentral lists this ribosomal RNA (254 nucleotides) under uncultured bacterium. RNAcentral's name for it is "partial 16S ribosomal RNA". It matches the Rfam family "Bacterial small subunit ribosomal RNA", at positions 524 to 776 of the family's 1533-position model. The record is from RNAcentral.